Non-coding RNA from Drosophila suzukii, 874 nucleotides. The record is from RefSeq and is a predicted model, not a curated record. Lineage: Eukaryota; Metazoa; Arthropoda; Insecta; Diptera; Drosophilidae.
CAAUCCAAAAGACCUGGACUGUGGCAUUGCACGCUUCGCCGACGACGAAAUGAAAUGCUAAAUUAUGGCACUUAACCGCUUGAAAAUCGUCUUGGCUCGAGGUGUGAACGUCCUGUUUUGGCCACCACGCGGCGUAUGAUGAAUAUCAUGAGCAAUGCCUAAUCAACUGCAAAUGAAAUGGACAAUUGCCACCGAAUGACCUGGGUGAAGUUCAGUGGGAGUAUCUGUAUCUGAAUCUCGCGUAUCUGUGCGCUGCAUUUUUAUGGGGCCAAAAGACACAGCAUUUGCAUUACUGGCCCGUCGAGUCAGCGACCUGCAGCUUAAUAAAGACUAAUUGACUUUCUGACCAUUAAAGGGGGCGGUGAAAAAAAAAUCGUUAAGGGAGGGGCGUGGCCCGACCAGAUGAUUGGCAAUUACGGCAAAGACAGCGCACCGGCUUGACAAAACGCGAUAAACGAAUUAACAUUUAAAUUAAUUUAUGUCCCCCAGUGCUGGCACUGUAUUUGUCAUGAGCGGCGACAAAUUUGAAAUUUCUGCAAACCCAACAUGUCCGACACAAAGUGAGGGCCUUCACAAGUUGCAUGCCAAAUUUAUGCAAAUGAAGGCAGCCUCCGCCUGCAACUUUUGGGAUGGGUGUGUCCUUGGUUGGCGGCGACAGUCGCUGCAUCUAAUUAGCCCAAGUAAAUUACAAGACAAACCGGCGAUGUCCAGGGAGUUAAGCUUGAAAACUCCACUCCACUCCGGCGAUUGUUACAGAUUGCAGUGCCGUAAAUUGAAUAAGCCACUGAAUGAGAUGACUGCAGUUGGUGGAUAAACCUCCUUAGCCGGUUUAAUUCCCCGGAAGUCUGCUUUAGCACCAGCAAGCAAGGAUCAU